RNAcentral lists this ribosomal RNA (786 nucleotides) under Triticum aestivum (bread wheat). RNAcentral describes it as "partial small subunit ribosomal RNA". The record is from RNAcentral. Lineage: Eukaryota; Viridiplantae; Streptophyta; Magnoliopsida; Poales; Poaceae.
AUGUGGCGCCGAGCCGGACCGAUCUGCCUCCACCUCGCCGGAAUCGCCGGCCGCCGCAUCCGACGACCCCCACAGCCUCCUGCUCCCACAGCCACCUGCUCUAGCUCCGCCUUCGCUUCAUCCUCUUUCCACCACAAUCUUGGAACCUUUCGGGAUUCCAUCGGAGUUCCUCCCUCUCGAAGCCUAUCGAACCAGGCAGGAGGUGAUGGCGGCAUUGGCGGCGAGUGCUGGAGUUGUGGCGCCAAGGGGGCAUUCCUCUCCUGCGGGUCCUGCAGGAGUGUGCAGCCCGUUGAUCCUGCGGUCGACUACUUCCGAAUAUUUGGCCUGGACAGAGGAUAUGACGUAAAGGAUACCAACUUAGAAGGAAAGUACAAAGACUGGCAGAAGAAGUUACAUCCUGACCUUGUUCAUUCUAAAUCAGAGAAAGAGAGAGAUUUUGCGGCCGGGCAGUCAGCACUUGUCAUUGAGGCAUAUCGCACACUGAGCAAACCUUUACCAAGGGCAUUGUACUUGCUGCAACUUGAGGGGAUACACGUUGAUGAGGAGAAGACUAUCAAUGAUCCAGAACUUCUUAUGGAGAUGAUGGAGAUACGCGAAGCAGUUAGCGAAGCCGGUGAUUCGCAAACUCUGAAGAAGAUCCAAUCUCAGAUGAAGAGUAAGCUCGAAACCUGGGCCAAAUCCUUCCAGGAAGCGUUCAACAAGAGGGACUUCGACGGCGCCGUGGAAGCUACACAGAGGAUGAGAUACUAUGAACGUGCUAUGGAAGAAACUGUGAAGAAGCUUUGA